GAUGAAGAACGUAGCGAAAUGGGAUAAGUAAUGUGAAUUGCAGAAUUCAGUGAAUCAUCGAAUCUUUGAACGCACAUUGCGCCCGCCAGUAUUCUGGCGGGCAUGCCUGUUCGAGCGUCAUUUCAACCAUCAAGCCCCAGGCUUGUGUUGGAGCCCUGCGGCUGCCGCAGCCUCCCAAAACCAGUGGCGGGCUCGCUAUCACACCGAGUGCAGUAGUUUACUCUUCGCUCAGGGCGUGUGGCGGGUGCUAGCCGUAAAACCCCCAACUUCUCAAGGUUGACCUCGGAUCAGGUAGGAAUACCCGCUGAACUUAAGCAUAUCAAUAAGCGGAGGA
RNAcentral lists this unclassified non-coding RNA (334 nucleotides) under soil metagenome. RNAcentral describes it as "partial contains 5.8S ribosomal RNA, internal transcribed spacer 2, and large subunit ribosomal RNA". The stretch from base 1 to 120 matches the Rfam family "5.8S ribosomal RNA", at positions 35 to 154 of the family's 154-position model. The record is from RNAcentral.